This is a non-coding RNA of Megalopta genalis, 1392 nucleotides long. NCBI's taxonomy places the organism in Eukaryota, Metazoa, Arthropoda, Insecta, Hymenoptera, Halictidae. The record is from RefSeq and is a predicted model, not a curated record.
ACUAACCGAUUCAGCCUCGGGGCGUUAACGAUGUCGCGUUAAUCGACGCCUACGAUAAUCCGUCGGAACAUGUUCGCGGAAUAACUGGUUUCGUUGAUCGCUCGUCGGACGCGCUUAUCUUCCUGGAUAUCCGAGCAUCGAUCGAUCGCGCGCGACGAUUAUGUGGGUCUAGGUCGAGCCCCGUUGUCGCUUCGAAAAAUGUUCCCCCACCAUGCCGGCGUUAGUACGCGGUAUAUACCGGUCGAUCGGGAAUUCUCCUCGCGAUCGUGUUGCAUUCUGAAAAUUCCAUCGCGACGACAUCAAUCUUCGCGGCAACAAAAAAAAAGAAGCGGGAAUAGAGACGCGUAGUAUUACAGGAAACGCUCGCGGGCCGCAUUUCUUUCCCGAUUAAGGUCGAAUACAUUAGCUAUAUCGUCGAUACGAAAAAACAACAACAACAACCGGACGAACAUUUUCUAAUCGGAUACCGAUUGCCCCUCCCCCCCCCUCCCCGCCCCGUGUUCCAGGACACGGUAAAUCUGUCCUCGUUUCGAGGUUAUUUCAUCGGAUCUGUCAGCUGGCUUCUUUUCAGUAACACGGCGGAAUGAACUCGUGUCUUUGAAGCCACGGUUUCAACGACGAAAGGGUCCUCUUAUAUUAGGGUCCGCAGUCUAGUCACAAAGGACCGGUCUGAUCCUGACAGGCGAGAACAAAAACCAUUCUUCUUUCACGGUACAAUGACUCUGCUUUUUGACAAAUAAUAAAUAGCAACGGGAGUAACAACAAUUGUUCGAUGCGACGUGAUAACAAGGAUAUUGUCUCGUGCGAUGAAUCGGGAUCGGGCCGACAGUGUUAACAACGACAACGUUAAAAAAAUAUAGCGAAGUAUCUUCGAUUGCUGUACUCGUCGCGGUACCUAGACCUGGCCUGCGACUCCUGCCGAUACCGGAAGAGGGGUCUGAAGAUGAUGUCCUCGGCGACGUCCAUGUCGCCGGCCGCCCUCGGAUAUUCAUCGUGAUCCGGGAAUAACGGCGCGACGAUGCCCCAUCUUGGCACCGCGACAGGCGCCAGGAACAGCUCCUCGUUCAACAGAUUCGAGGAUCCGUCCGGCAACAGCGACACCGGCAUCGUUUCCUGCGUCGACGGCACGAUCGCGAUCUGAAAAAUGCCGGAACUCUUUUAAAAAGUAUCCGCGUUCCCUUGGUAUUCGCGCGCGUCGCCGGAAUUCAUCGUCGGAUGGAGGAACGGUGAAGAAAAAAGAAGCGGCUGCUUUGCUGGUUACAUUUUAUUAGAACCACCUUGUAUGUGUGUGUGUAUACAGCUUGACGGUUUCUCUCUCUCGCCAGAAGAAAGUAACUUCUAUUUAUACCGCGAGGAUGUCAUAGACGCGAAAUAAAUUAAUAUACGCGAACA